RNAcentral lists this ribosomal RNA (552 nucleotides) under Triticum aestivum (bread wheat). RNAcentral's name for it is "partial small subunit ribosomal RNA". The record is from RNAcentral. Lineage: Eukaryota; Viridiplantae; Streptophyta; Magnoliopsida; Poales; Poaceae.
AUGGCAAAAUUCUGGUGGGGGAGCUCCCUAGAUAAUCGGUCCUUGCACUGGAUUGCCUGGGACGAGCUGGCCACGCCUAAGUGCAAGGGCGGAAUGGGUUUCCGCGUUCUCCGUAUGUUCAACUUGGCCUUACUAGGGAAGCAUGGAUGGCGUUUUAUGAUGAAUCCGAACUCCCUUUGUGCCAAGGUGAUGAAAGGAAGAUAUUUCCCAGACACAGAUUUCCUACAUGCUUCGGUUCCCAAGUCCUCAUCCGCUACCUGGCGGGCAAUUGUGGCGGGCCGUGAAGCACUGCAGGCCGGUCUGGUGAAGCGAGUAGGCGACGGAUCGUCCAUAUCAAUAUGGGAGGAUAAAUGGAUUCCUUCCACCAUCAAGAUGUCUCCUCUGUUACGUCCAGCUAACACCAUGGUGCAAACCGUGAAUGAAUUGAUAGACCCACUGGACAUGGCGGACGGAGCAGGUUCGGGAGAUCUUCAUCGCGCCGGACGCCGCAGCCAUUCUGAAAAUUCCGUUGCGGCACGGCGGGGGCGAAGACUUCUAUGCAUGGGCCUUUGA